AACGGCCAUAUUACAUUGAAACAUCGUUUCUUGUACGAUCAACAAAGUUAAGCAACACUGAGCCUGGUCUGUAUCUAGAUGGGUGACCACUUGGGAAUACCAGGUGCUGUAA
Molecule: non-coding RNA, 112 nt
Organism: Acanthosepion pharaonis
Lineage: Eukaryota; Metazoa; Mollusca; Cephalopoda; Sepiida; Sepiidae
Source: the annotation of a GenBank genome assembly